UCCUCGAGGGACCACCUGUGGCGAAGGCGCCUUCACCAGAACGGCUUCGACAGUGAGGGACGAAAGCUGGGGGAGCAAACCGGAUUAGAUACCCGGGUAGUCCCAGCCGUAAACGAUGUGCGUUAGGUGUAUCGGUGACCACGAGUCACCGAGGUGCCGAAGGGAAACCGUGAAACGUACCGCCUGGGAAGUACGGUCGCAAGGCUGAAACUUAAAGGAAUUGGCGGGGGAGCACCACAACAGGUGGAGCCUGCGGUUUAAUUGGACUCAACGCCGGACAAUCUCACCGGAUA
Molecule: ribosomal RNA, 293 nt
Filed under: uncultured methanogenic archaeon
Lineage: Archaea; Methanobacteriati; Methanobacteriota
Description: partial 16S ribosomal RNA
Rfam family: Archaeal small subunit ribosomal RNA
Source: RNAcentral